UGCUCAAUUGGGGCCUAGGCUCACAGUA
This 28-nucleotide non-coding RNA is filed under the name Rattus norvegicus (Norway rat). Lineage: Eukaryota; Metazoa; Chordata; Mammalia; Rodentia; Muridae. The record is from RNAcentral.